UUGGGGGGUAUCCCCGGGAAGAGAUCCAGUGGAGACGGGGUGGGCCUGUAGCUCAGAGGAUUAGAGCACGUGGC
RNAcentral lists this transfer RNA (74 nucleotides) under Saccharum hybrid cultivar. RNAcentral describes it as "tRNA-Arg". Lineage: Eukaryota; Viridiplantae; Streptophyta; Magnoliopsida; Poales; Poaceae. The record is from RNAcentral.